UUUGUUCAUCCUUGUCACUCCUGCAGCAGCAGCAGCAGCAGCAGCACCACCACCACCAGCAGCAGCAGCAG
This 71-nucleotide microRNA precursor is filed under the name Mus pahari (shrew mouse). RNAcentral's name for it is "miRNA (MGP_PahariEiJ_G0007796.1)". Lineage: Eukaryota; Metazoa; Chordata; Mammalia; Rodentia; Muridae. The record is from RNAcentral.